GCUUGUCUCAAAGAUUAAGCCAUGCAUGUCUAAGUAUAAGUAUUAUACAGCGAAACUGCGAAUGGCUCAUUAAAACAGUUAUAGUUUACAUGAUAAUCGAAUUUACAUGGAUAACCGUGGUAAUUCUAGAGCUAAUACAUGCUGGCGUGCCCGACUUUUGUGGAAGGGCGGUAUUUAUUAGAUAACAAGCCAAUAUUCCUCACGGUCUAUUGUGGUGACUCAUAAUAACUGAUCGGAUCGCACGGGCUUGCCCGCGACAAACCAUUCAAGUUUCUGCCCCAUCAGCUUUCGAUGGUAGUGUAUUGGACUACCAUGGCUUUUACGGGUAACGGAGGAUUAGGGUUCGAUUCCGGAGAGGGAGCCUGAGAAACGGCUACCACAUCUAAGGAAGGCAGCAGG
Molecule: ribosomal RNA, 399 nt
Filed under: uncultured Leegaardiellidae
Lineage: Eukaryota; Ciliophora; Spirotrichea; Choreotrichida; Leegaardiellidae
Description: partial small subunit ribosomal RNA
Rfam family: Eukaryotic small subunit ribosomal RNA
Source: RNAcentral